GAUGAACGCUGGCGGCGUGCCUAAUACAUGCAAGUCGAGCGAACGGACGAGAAGCUUGCUUCUCUGAUGUUAGCGGCGGACGGGUGAGUAACACGUGGAUAACCUACCUAUAAGACUGGGAUAACUUCGGGAAACCGGAGCUAAUACCGGAUAAUAUUUUGAACCGCAUGGUUCAAAAGUGAAAGACGGUCUUGCUGUCACUUAUAGAUGGAUCCGCGCUGCAUUAGCUAGUUGGUAAGGUAACGGCUUACCAAGGCAACGAUGCAUAGCCGACCUGAGAGGGUGAUCGGCCACACUGGAACUGAGACACGGUCCAGACUCCUACGGGAGGCAGCAGUAGGGAAUCUUCCGCAAUGGGCGAAAGCCUGACGGAGCAACGCCGCGUGAGUGAUGAAGGUCUUCGGAUCGUAAAACUCGGGUAUUAGGGAAGAACAUAUGUGUAAGUAACUGUGCACAUCUUGACGGUACCUAAUCAGAAAGCCACGGCUAACUACGGG
This 497-nucleotide ribosomal RNA is filed under the name uncultured bacterium. RNAcentral's name for it is "partial 16S ribosomal RNA". It matches the Rfam family "Bacterial small subunit ribosomal RNA", at positions 28 to 507 of the family's 1533-position model. The record is from RNAcentral.